AGCUCCGUUAUAAUCUAUAGG
This 21-nucleotide microRNA is filed under the name Macaca mulatta (Rhesus monkey). RNAcentral describes it as "mml-miR-7187-5p". Lineage: Eukaryota; Metazoa; Chordata; Mammalia; Primates; Cercopithecidae. The record is from miRBase by way of RNAcentral.